AUAGAGGGCUAGGGGGUGCUCCAAAGAGGAGCUGAGAGCCGGGUGACCCCGGCAACCCUUGGAACCUGAUCCGGUUAGUACCGGCGGAGGGAAGCCAUGGUAAAAGCAU
RNAcentral lists this non-coding RNA (109 nucleotides) under Chthonomonas calidirosea. RNAcentral describes it as "TPP sequence". It matches the Rfam family "TPP riboswitch aptamer (THI element)". Rfam says of the family: Vitamin B(1) in its active form thiamin pyrophosphate (TPP) is an essential coenzyme that is synthesised by coupling of pyrimidine and thiazole moieties in bacteria. The previously detected thiamin-regulatory element, thi box was extended, resulting in a new, highly conserved RNA secondary structure, the THI element, which is widely distributed in eubacteria and also occurs in some archaea. Lineage: Bacteria; Bacillati; Armatimonadota; Chthonomonadia; Chthonomonadales; Chthonomonadaceae. RNAcentral also lists the same sequence under 1 other name. The record is from RNAcentral.